This 586-nucleotide long non-coding RNA is filed under the name Homo sapiens (human). RNAcentral's name for it is "HSALNT0234476". The record is from RNAcentral. Lineage: Eukaryota; Metazoa; Chordata; Mammalia; Primates; Hominidae.
GGCCCUGCUGGUCCAGGAGGAGAGACAGCUGCCUGCGAGCCUCCUGCAGGAGCUGCCGGAACAAGAACCUAGGAGCGACAGGCACAGGGUGGUUGGGAAGACCUUGUCCUGGCGAAGGCUGCUAUCAGGCGCCCACCCCACUGCCCCUCACCUCAGCAGGGCCCUGCGGGCGAUGACCAGGCCAUGGCAGUCGUGGAGCUGCUGGCCCGAGAACUCCAGCCAGCCAGCACAGCAGCUGCUGCCGGUGCCCAGAGCCACCAGCUUGUAGAUCUCCUUCACGUGGCCCCUGGCACGCGGGAUCUCUGUGCAGGAGGGGGCAGAGACGGCCCAGCCUAAGGCCCAGUAUGGCGAGCGCUCGUCCAACAGGAGGUCAAAGCCGGCGCUCACCAACGCUGCGCAGCGCUGCUCAUGGGUCAGGAUGUUCUCUGCGCCAGGGCGAGAGACUGCAGGAAGCCAAGGAGGCGGGGAGAGGAAGUUUUCAUCUUCCAGACACAGGACAUUACACGAGCUGCUCUUCUAGCGGUCCCUACCCCCGGUGUCCCCAGAGGACGUGAAAGCAGGGACCGGCACAUGUACCCCGCCCCAG